Molecule: non-coding RNA, 442 nt
Organism: Salvia hispanica
Lineage: Eukaryota; Viridiplantae; Streptophyta; Magnoliopsida; Lamiales; Lamiaceae
Source: RefSeq, a predicted model, not a curated record
UUUUACUAUUUAACAAUAGCAUUUUAUUGCAGGAAUACAAAUAGGGUUAUAUCAAACCCUAAUAAACAGGAGCCGCCUCUACUAUAGCAGAAAAAGGAGAGAGAAAGAGAUAUUACUAUAUAAAGGUGGUUACAUCAUAAUCAUUUUAUAGGCCUGCAGAGGACCAUAUAUUCACUUUAUUACACAAACAUAAUUCAAGGAAGAAGAAGAAUAUAAUUCAAGGUAUGGAUUGCAAAGAGGUCUAAAGGAGCAUGGAAUAGCUUGAAAGAAUGGAAUAAAUAUAUAAUGUAAUAGUAAUAAAUAGAUGUAAUAGUAGUAAAUAGUAAAUAUUGUAAUAGAAUAGAAUAGUAGGAGUAUAUUUAUGGCAGAUAUAGGCCUGUCUCUAUACAAUUUUCCAUAAAAUGACCGAAAAUACAACAAUGAAGCUAAAUUUAAUAGGAUU